Molecule: long non-coding RNA, 436 nt
Organism: Ictidomys tridecemlineatus (thirteen-lined ground squirrel)
Lineage: Eukaryota; Metazoa; Chordata; Mammalia; Rodentia; Sciuridae
Source: RefSeq, a predicted model, not a curated record
GCAGCAUAGCAGCCCUGGGUAGCCAGAACCAUCCUACAGCUCACAAUGGAAAGGGAGAUGGAAGGAAUCUGGAGAAACAGGCCCCAAGAGUGCUUCAUAAACAGAAAAGAGUAAAGACCCAGACGAGUUGAGGAUCUAUCAUCUCAUGGAGGAAAAAGGUCGUGAAGGAAGAGGAGAUGUGGCAUGAACAUGUGAAGACACAGGGAGAAGACGGCUGCCGGCAAGCCCAGGACAAAGGACCUCAGAGCGAACCCAGGACACGUUUCCUGACGCAGCACGGAAGCAUCACUUGUCAUUUAUAUGCCUAUUGGACUAUCUUUAAAAUUAUCACAGACUCAUCUACAGAAAAUUGAGAUUAUUUAUGUGGAAGAUGUUUCAGACAGUAAGUAAAUUGUGGUGCAUUUUUUAGCAGUGUGUAUGCAAACAAAGAUUUUGA